This 692-nucleotide ribosomal RNA is filed under the name Candidatus Kuenenia stuttgartensis. RNAcentral's name for it is "bacterial SSU rRNA". It matches the Rfam family "Bacterial small subunit ribosomal RNA", at positions 860 to 1533 of the family's 1533-position model. The record is from RNAcentral. Lineage: Bacteria; Pseudomonadati; Planctomycetota; Candidatus Brocadiia; Candidatus Brocadiales; Candidatus Brocadiaceae. RNAcentral also lists the same sequence under 1 other name.
UUAAGUGCCCCGCCUGGGGAGUACGGCCGCAAGGCUAAAACUCAAAAGAAUUGACGGGGGCUCGCACAAGCGGUGGAGCAUGUGGCUUAAUUCGAUGCAACGCGAAGAACCUUACCGGGGUUUGACAUGGUAGAAGUAGAAGCCUGAAAAGGUGACGAACGGUAUCCAGUCCGUAACUAUCACAGGUGUUGCAUGGCUGUCGUCAGCUCGUGUCGUGAGACGUUGGGUUAAGUCCCCUAACGAGCGAAACCCUUGUCUUUAGUUGCCAACAGAUAAUGCUGGGCACUCUAAAGAAACUGCCGUCGUCAAGACGGAGGAAGGUGGGGAUGACGUCAAGUCAUCAUGGCCCUUAUAUCCCGGGCUGCACACGUGCUACAAUGGUCGGUACAAAGGGAUGCUAAGCCGUAAGGUGGAGCGAAACCCAGAAAGCCGAUCCCAGUUCAGAUUGGAGGCUGAAACCCGCCUCCAUGAAGUAGGAAUCGCUAGUAAUCGCGGAUCAGCUACGCCGCGGUGAAUAUGUUCCCGAGCCUUGUACACACCGCCCGUCAAGCCACCCAAGCAAGAUGCACCCAAAAUCACCGGCCUAACCUGAAAAGGAAGGAAGUGCCUAAGGUGUGUUUUGUGAGGAGGACUAAGUCGUAACAAGGUAGUCGUAGGAGAACCUGCGGCUGGAUCACCUCCUUUCUAAGGAG